UACAGAGGGUGCGAGCGUUGUUCGGAAUUAUUGGGCGUAAAGGGCGCGUAGGCGGCGCCACAAGUCACCUGUGAAAACUCUGGGCUCAACCCAGAGCCUGCAGGCGAAACUGUGGUGCUGGAGUAUGGGAGAGGUGCGUGGAAUUCCCGGUGUAGCGGUGAAAUGCGUAGAUAUCAGGAGGAACACCUGCGGUGUAGACGGCUUUCUGGACCAUUGCUGACGCUGAGACACGAAAGCGUGGGUAGCAAACAGG
RNAcentral lists this ribosomal RNA (253 nucleotides) under uncultured bacterium. RNAcentral describes it as "partial 16S ribosomal RNA". It matches the Rfam family "Bacterial small subunit ribosomal RNA", at positions 524 to 776 of the family's 1533-position model. The record is from RNAcentral.